UAAUACAUGCAAGUCGAACGCGUCUCCGUUAAUGAUUUUAGGUGCUUGCACUUGAAAGAUUUAACAUUGAGACGAGUGGCGAACUGGUGAGUAACACGUGGGUAACCUGCCCUUGAAGUAGGGGAUAACACUUGGAAACAGGUGCUAAUACCGUAUAACAACCAAAACCACCUGGUUUUGGUUUAAAAGACGGCUUCGGCUGUCACUUUAGGAUGGACCCGCGGCGUAUUAGCUUGUUGGUAAGGUAACGGCUUACCAAGGCGAUGAUACGUAGCCGACCUGAGAGGGUAAUCGGCCACAUUGGGACUGAGACACGGCCCAAACUCCUACGGGAGGCAGCAGUAGGGAAUCUUCCACAAUGGACGAAAGUCUGAUGGAGCAACGCCGCGUGAGUGAUGAAGGGUUUCGGCUCGUAAAACUCUGUUGUUGGAGAAGAACAGGUGUCAGAGUAACUGUUGACAUCUUGACGGUAUCCAACCAGAAAGCCACGGCUAACUACGUGCCAGCAGCCGCGGUAAUACGUAGGUGGCAAGCGUUGUCCGGAUUUAUUGGGCGUAAAGCGAGCGCAGGCGGUUUUUUAGGUCUGAUGUGAAAGCCUUCGGCUUAACCGGAGAAGUGCAUCGGAAACCGGGAGACUUGAGUGCAGAAGAGGACAGUGGAACUCCAUGUGUAGCGGUGAAAUGCGUAGAUAUAUGGAAGAACACCAGUGGCGAAGGCGGCUGUCUGGUCUGUAACUGACGCUGAGGCUCGA
Molecule: ribosomal RNA, 751 nt
Filed under: Lentilactobacillus buchneri
Lineage: Bacteria; Bacillati; Bacillota; Bacilli; Lactobacillales; Lactobacillaceae
Description: bacterial SSU rRNA
Rfam family: Bacterial small subunit ribosomal RNA
Source: RNAcentral